GGUUGUUUAUGUUGUCCUUAUGUGUUCUCUUUUCUUCUGGGUUUCCUCGACUUUAGUUUACCGUAGGAGGGGAAGAAAGGAAGAGGAGCGACGAGAAGAACGGAACCAGAGUACCGUCCGGCAACGUAGGCUAGGACCGGGCGAGGUCCUGAAAACACAGCGGCUGUACGUUAGUGGUCACGCACAGUUACCUAAACAAACGUUCUUGGGCUACCUCCAGUUACGACUACUAAAGAAGUUCCGUCGGCGGGAGCUGUUCGGAUCCCACUGGUUGUUCCAACCGAGGUUGCAGUGGAACUAGUUACAGUACGUCUAACGGCCUGAGUUGUGGGAGCCGUAGAGUUAGCGCGCGUAGCUGAUACGAGGGAACCCGGUCUUGGGUGGUGUAUGCGUGGGGGCGCGGUGACUCUAGGAGUGUCACGAGCUCCCCUGUGAUAUGCAACCUAAACAGUGUAGGUUGGACGGGCGGGGUCGGUCUUUGUUCAAGAAGAGCUUCCACGAGUUGUUUCCACUACACAAACAGAAGGGGCACCCCGAGUAGGUGAAGGUUAAGUUGGGGUUGGGGGUAGUCGGGCGGCAACGUUAACGGCGCGAGUCGUCGGUCUUGGGUCCCCGAUAGUGUUAACGGUUACGUCACAAACCCAGUCUGGGUGGUUAUAGGCUACUACAAGAACGGUUCCGCAAAGUCCACCUUUUCUUAUGUUAUCUGACCGAGGUCCGAGUCAAGACCCUCUUGUUGGUGUUGAUUCACUUUCCAACCGACUAAUGUGUCUUCUGGUCACGCGUUUAAUUCCUGUACAAACUCAAAGAUCUAUACAUAGGAUUAGAUAUUUUAUUUACCUCGUAUACGGUAAGGUAAGGCACAGACAUUACUCACUUACAUGAAGAUGGAAGUCUUAUUAACUGUUAUAGCAACAAAUAGUGUGCCUAUACUAGAGUAUAAUAAAAAAAACCAAGAUUACACAGCAUAAAGAGUAUUUAUAAAACCCAAGAAAAGGGGAACAAGGCU
RNAcentral lists this ribosomal RNA (1009 nucleotides) under Triticum aestivum (bread wheat). Its description in RNAcentral is "partial small subunit ribosomal RNA". Lineage: Eukaryota; Viridiplantae; Streptophyta; Magnoliopsida; Poales; Poaceae. The record is from RNAcentral.